RNAcentral lists this ribosomal RNA (241 nucleotides) under uncultured bacterium. Its description in RNAcentral is "partial 16S ribosomal RNA". It matches the Rfam family "Bacterial small subunit ribosomal RNA", at positions 80 to 339 of the family's 1533-position model. The record is from RNAcentral.
UCGGGAACUGGACAGUGGCGGACGGGUGAGUAACACGUGGGAACAUACCUUUUGGUACGGAACAACGCCUGGAAACGGGUGCUAAUACCGUAUACGCCCUUAGGGGGAAAGAUUUAUCGCCGAAAGAUUGGCCCGCGCUAGAUUAGUUAGUUGGUAAGGUAAUGGCUUACCAAGGCUACGAUCUAUAGCUGGUUUGAGAGGAUGAUCAGCCACACUGGGACUGAGACACGGCCCAGACUCC